CGGCACAAUUCUGCGAAAAUUCAACGAAACUGUGUAAAAUAUAGUUUGAUCACUCUGUGAAAAGCCGCCAUUGGAGUCCGGAAUUUUGCGCGUGCGUACAAGUGUAUGAGCUAAUAAACGAAAAAUGUACCACAAGCAUGGCAUGAGUCGACUAUUACGUACAUAAAUGCGAGCUUAUUACUAUAUUAUCUAAAUUAUGGAACCGAGGGAAUCGAUGGCAUUUUGGCUUCAUCGUUGCACCCUGAGCCUGCGAUGAGCUAACGCAAACUCGAUUUCUCGACUACGAAAAAAAAACAGAAAAAGAGGGAUUUAAGACACUUGGCCUACAGGCCAGUGUAAUUAUUGAUGACAUAAUUAUAGAAAGGUAUUUUAUAUUCACUGAUACUACAAAAACUGCGCAUGCUUCCUCUCAACCGAAAAAACGUGUUUUGUUUUCCUGUCAAAACAUUCAGGGAAUGCGACUACACUCCUAGGCCUAUUACUGCUAAAAUGUCAAACUAUUAUUAGGUAAUUUCAGCACAAUUCCCCGCAGACCAAUC
Paramuricea clavata is the source of this 539-nucleotide non-coding RNA. NCBI's taxonomy places the organism in Eukaryota, Metazoa, Cnidaria, Anthozoa, Malacalcyonacea, Plexauridae. The record is from the annotation of a GenBank genome assembly.